This 441-nucleotide ribosomal RNA is filed under the name uncultured bacterium. RNAcentral's name for it is "partial 16S ribosomal RNA". It matches the Rfam family "Bacterial small subunit ribosomal RNA", at positions 338 to 795 of the family's 1533-position model. The record is from RNAcentral.
CCUACGGGAGGCAGCAGUGAGGAAUAUUGCACAAUGGGGGAAACCCUGAUGCAGCAACGCCGCGUGCAGGAAGACGGUUUUCGGGUUUUAAACUUCUGUUCUUAGUGAAGAAUAAUGACGGUAGCUAAGGCUCCCGCCACGGCUCACUACGUCCCAGCAGCCGCGGUAAUCCGUAGGUGGAAAGCGUUGUCCGGCAUUACUGGGUGUAAAGGGAGCGCAGGCGGGAAGCAAAGUCAGCUGUGAAAACUACGGGCUUAACUUGUAGACUGCAGUUGAAACUGGUUUUCUUGAGUGAAGUAGAGGUUGGCGGAAUUCCGAGUGUAGCGGUGAAAUGCGUAGAUAUUCGGAGGAACACCGGUGGCGAAGGCGGCCAACUGGGCUGCAACUGACGCUGAGGCUCGAAAGUGUGGGGAGCAAACAGGAUUAGAUACCCGUGUAGUC